This is a long non-coding RNA of Suricata suricatta (meerkat), 259 nucleotides long. RefSeq lists it as uncharacterized. The transcript has 3 exons. Lineage: Eukaryota; Metazoa; Chordata; Mammalia; Carnivora; Herpestidae. The record is from RefSeq and is a predicted model, not a curated record.
AUCACUGUGACCCAAAGCCAGAUCAGAACGUGCAAGAAAGACAUGGAUCUGCCGUGAUCAGCUUUCAACACAUGCUGUUUUGCAGCAAUGCUGAUAUUUAAGUUCCAUCAGGACCUCAAAUCUCCUUGUGAGCAGUAUGUUGUGAACUUCAAGGAAAAUGUCUAAACUUCAUGAUUUAAUGACAGAGAGGAAGGAAAAUGUUUAGAAGUUGCUGCAAGACCACAGAAUGAUGAACUCCACAAGCAUGAUAAUAAUCAAU